Molecule: ribosomal RNA, 450 nt
Filed under: uncultured bacterium
Lineage: Bacteria
Description: partial 16S ribosomal RNA
Rfam family: Bacterial small subunit ribosomal RNA
Source: RNAcentral
GUGGGGAAUCUUCCGCAAUGGACGAAAGUCUGACGGAGCGACGCCGCGUGAGUGAAGAAGGCCUUCGGGUCGUAAAGCUCUGUCGUCAGGGACGAACGGCCGGUGGAGUGGAAAGCCACCGGAUUGACGGUACCUGAGAAGGAAGCCACGGCUAACUACGUGCCAGCAGCCGCGGUAAUACGUAGGUGGCAAGCGUUGUCCGGAAUUAUUGGGCGUAAAGCGCGCGCAGGUGGGAUCUUAAGUCCAUUUUGAAAGUUCGGAGCUCAACUCCGUGAUGGGAUGGAAACUGGGAUUCUUGAGUACCGGAGAGGAAAGCGGAAUUCCCCGUGUAGCGGUGAAAUGCGUAGAUAUGGGGAGGAACACCAGUGGCGAAGGCGGCUUUCUGGACGGUGUCUGACACUGAGGCGCGAAAGCUAGGGGAGCGAACGGGAUUAGAAACCCCAGUAGUCC